AGUGAACGCUGGCGGUAGGCCUAACACAUGCAAGUCGAACGGCAGCACAGUAAGAGCUUGCUCUUACGGGUGGCGAGUGGCGGACGGGUGAGGAAUACAUCGGCAUCUACUUUUUCGUGGGGGAUAACGUAGGGACACUUACGCUAAUACCGCAUACGACCUACGGGUGAAAGCAGGGGAUCUUCGGACCUUGCGCGAUUGAAUGCGCCGAUGUCGGAUUAGCUAGUUGGCGGGGUAAAGGCCCACCAAGGCGACGAGCCGUAGCUGGUCGGAGAGGAUGACUAGCGACACUGGAACUGAGACACGGUCCAGACUCCUACGGGAGGCAGCAGUGUGGAAUAUGGGACAAUGGGCGCAAGCCUGGUCCAGCCAUACCGCGUCGGUGAAGAAGGCCUGCGGGUUGUAAAGCCGUUCUGUUGGGAAAGAAAAGCAGCAGGUUAAUACCCCGCUGUUCUGACGGUACCCAAAGAAUAAGCACCGUCUAACUUCGUG
Molecule: ribosomal RNA, 492 nt
Filed under: uncultured bacterium
Lineage: Bacteria
Description: partial 16S ribosomal RNA
Rfam family: Bacterial small subunit ribosomal RNA
Source: RNAcentral